UACGGGGGGUGCGAGCGUUGUCCGGAAUUACUGGGCGUAAAGCGCACGUAGGCGGCUUUGUAAGUUAGAGGUGAAAGCCCAGGGCUUAACCCUGGAAUUGCCUUUAAGACUGCGUCGCUAGAAUCGUGGAGAGGUGAGUGGAAUUCCGAGUGUAGAGGUGAAAUUCGUAGAUAUUCGGAAGAACACCGGUGGCGAAGGCGGCCUGCUGGGCAGUAGCUGACGCUGAUGCGCGACAGCGUGGGGAGCAAACAGG
RNAcentral lists this ribosomal RNA (253 nucleotides) under uncultured bacterium. RNAcentral describes it as "partial 16S ribosomal RNA". It matches the Rfam family "Bacterial small subunit ribosomal RNA", at positions 524 to 776 of the family's 1533-position model. The record is from RNAcentral.